RNAcentral lists this ribosomal RNA (460 nucleotides) under uncultured bacterium. RNAcentral's name for it is "partial 16S ribosomal RNA". It matches the Rfam family "Bacterial small subunit ribosomal RNA", at positions 338 to 795 of the family's 1533-position model. The record is from RNAcentral.
CCUACGGGUGGCAGCAGUGAGGAAUAUUGGUCAAUGGACGAGAGUCUGAACCAGCCAAGUAGCGUGAAGGAUGACUGCCCUAUGGGUUGUAAACUUCUUUUAUAUGGGAAUAAAAUGUUCCACGUGUGGGAUUUUGUAUGUCCCAUAUGAAUAAGGAUCGGCUAACUCCGUGCCAGCAGCCGCGGUAAUACGGAGGAUCCGAGCGUUAUCCGGAUUUAUUGGGUUUAAAGGGAGCGUAGGUGGAUUGUUAAGUCAGUUGUGAAAGUUUGCGGCUCAACCGUAAAAUUGCAGUUGAAACUGGCAGUCUUGAGUACAGUAGAGGUGGGCGGAAUUCGUGGUGUAGCGGUGAAAUGCUGAGAUAUCACGAAGAACUCCGAUUGCGAAGGCAGUUCACUGGACUGCAACUGACACUGAGGUUCGAAAGUGUGGGUAUCAAACAGGAUUAGAUACCCUUGUAGUC